UAGGGCCGAAAUCCUAUCUUAUUAUUCCAUGCUGCAGUAUUCAAGGCGACAAGCCUGCUUGAAACACUCUAAUUUUCUCAAAGUAAAAGUCCUGGAAAAAACUCCACACAACGAAGUGUGGAGAAAUCCAGAAGGAUGCUAGAAUUCACCAAGUGCACACCCCUGAGGGCGGACUGGCUGCUUCCAGCAGAAAUCCAACUACGAGCUUUUUAACUGCAACAACUUUAAUAUACGCUAUUGGAGCUGGAAUUACCGCGGCUGCUGGCACCAGACUUGCCCUCCAAUUGUUACUCUGAAAGGGGUUUGGAUUCCUAUCAUUCCAAUCACUAGAAAUGAAAUUUCCAGUGUUGUUAUUUCUUGUCACUACCUCCCUGAAUCAGGAUUGGGUAAUUUGCGCGCCUGCUGCCUUCCUUAGAUGUGGUAGCCGUUUCUCAGGCUCCCUCUCCGGAAUCGAACCCUAAUUCCCCGUUACCCGUCACUGCCACGGUAGUCCAAUACAGUACCGUCGAAAGCUGAUAGGUCAGAAACUUGAAUGAUCCGUCGCAGACCGAAGUCAACGCGAUCCGUUCGGUUACUAUGAAUCACCUGAGGACCACCGGAAGGUGGGUUGGUUCUGUAUCUAAUAAACACUGCCCUUCCAGGGGAAGAGGCAUGUGCGCAUGUAUUAGCCAUAGAAUUACCACGGUUAUCCAGUGUAGUAAAGACCAUCAAAUAAACUAUAACUGUUUUAAUGAGCCAUUCGCAGUUUAGCCGUAUAAAAGCUUAUACUUAGACAUGCAUGGCUUAAUCUUUAAGACAAGCAUAUGA
Molecule: ribosomal RNA, 807 nt
Filed under: Toxoplasma gondii ME49
Lineage: Eukaryota; Apicomplexa; Conoidasida; Eucoccidiorida; Sarcocystidae
Description: Toxoplasma gondii rRNA TGME49_459290
Source: RNAcentral